This is a non-coding RNA of Pelobates cultripes (western spadefoot toad), 270 nucleotides long. The record is from the annotation of a GenBank genome assembly. NCBI's taxonomy places the organism in Eukaryota, Metazoa, Chordata, Amphibia, Anura, Pelobatidae.
CUGAACGGCAGCACUGCCCCAGGAAGCACCUCCAGUGGUCAUCUGAGGAGUGGCCACUUGGAGGUGUCCCUAGGGGGCAAUGCAAAGAAUGCCUUUUCUAGGAAAAGGCAGUGUUUGCAUGAAAAUGCUUAAAGGAACACUAUAGUCACCUAAAUUACUUAUCUAAAUAAAGCAGCUUUGGUGUAUAGAUCAUUCCCCUGCAAUUUCACUGCUCAAUUCACUGUCAUUUAGGAGUUAAAUCACUUUGUUUCUGUGUAUGCAGCCCUAGCC